CCUUGUAUCUCUCCCAUGCAUCAUAAAGUGUUUCUAAAUCCAUCUGCACAAAAGAAGAGAUAUCAUUACGCAAUUU
This 76-nucleotide small nucleolar RNA is filed under the name Gossypium arboreum. RNAcentral's name for it is "Plant small nucleolar RNA R71". It matches the Rfam family "Plant small nucleolar RNA R71", at positions 32 to 107 of the family's 107-position model. From Rfam's summary of the family: R71 is a member of the C/D box family of snoRNAs containing the C (UGAUGA) and D (CUGA) box motifs. Multiple nearly identical copies of this snoRNA have been identified in Arabidopsis, and it is thought to function as a 2'-O-ribose methylation guide for 18S ribosomal RNA. The record is from Rfam by way of RNAcentral. Lineage: Eukaryota; Viridiplantae; Streptophyta; Magnoliopsida; Malvales; Malvaceae.